UGCCUACGGGAGGCUGCAGUGGGGAAUAUUGGACAAUGGGCGCAAGCCUGAUCCAGCCAUGCCGCGUGAGUGACGAAGGCCUUAGGGUUGUAAAGCUCUUUUGGCGGGGACGAUAAUGACGGUACCCGCAGAAUAAGCUCCGGCUAACUUCGUGCCAGCAGCCGCGGUAAUACGAAGGGAGCUAGCGUUGUUCGGAAUCACUGGACGUAAAGCGCACGUAGGCGGAUCGUUAAGUCGGGGGUGAAAUCCCGAGGCUCAACCUCGGAACUGCCUUCGAUACUGGCGAUCUUGAGUUCGGGAGAGGUGGGUGGAAUUCCUAGUGUAGAGGUGAAAUUCGUAGAUAUUAGGAAGAACACCGGUGGCGAAGGCGGCCCACUGGCCCGAUACUGACGCUGAGGUGCGAAAGCGUGGGGAGCAAACAGGAUUAGAUACCCCGGUAGUCUGU
RNAcentral lists this ribosomal RNA (445 nucleotides) under uncultured Hyphomicrobiaceae bacterium. Its description in RNAcentral is "bacterial SSU rRNA". It matches the Rfam family "Bacterial small subunit ribosomal RNA", at positions 335 to 798 of the family's 1533-position model. The record is from RNAcentral. Lineage: Bacteria; Pseudomonadati; Pseudomonadota; Alphaproteobacteria; Hyphomicrobiales; Hyphomicrobiaceae.